GCGUGUGUGAAGAAGGCCUGCGGGUUGUAAAGCACUUUCAGUAGGGACGAAAAGCGAGGGGCUAAUAUCCUCUUGUCUUGACUUAACCUAAAGAAGAAGCACCGGCUAACUCUGUGCCAGCAGCCGCGGUAAUACAGAGGGUGCGAGCGUUAAUCGGAAUUACUGGGCGUAAAGCGUGCGUAGGCGGCUAUUUAAGUCGGAUGUGAAAUCCCCGGGCUUAACCUGGGAAUUGCAUUCGAUACUGGAUAGCUAGAGUGCAGUAGAGGAUAGUGGAAUUCCGGGUGUAGCGGUGAAAUGCGU
This 300-nucleotide ribosomal RNA is filed under the name uncultured bacterium. RNAcentral's name for it is "bacterial SSU rRNA". It matches the Rfam family "Bacterial small subunit ribosomal RNA", at positions 399 to 691 of the family's 1533-position model. The record is from RNAcentral.